AUUGAACGCUGGCGGCAUGCCUUACACAUGCAAGUCGAACGGUAACAGGUCUUCGGAUGCUGACGAGUGGCGAACGGGUGAGUAAUACAUCGGAACGUGCCUAGUAGUGGGGGAUAACUACUCGAAAGAGUGGCUAAUACCGCAUGAGAUCUACGGAUGAAAGCAGGGGAUCGCAAGACCCUGUGCUACUAGAGCGGCCGAUGGCAGAUUAGGUAGUUGGUGGGAUAAAAGCUUACCAAGCCGACGAUCUGUAGCUGGUCUGAGAGGACGAUCAGCCACACUGGGACUGAGACACGGCCCAGACUCCUACGGGAGGCAGCAGUAGGGAAUUUUGGACAGUGGGCGCAAGCCUGAUCCAGCAAUGCCGCGUGCAGGAUGAAGGCCUUCGGGUUGUAAACUGCUUUUGUACGGAACGAAAAGCCCUGGGUUAAUACCCUGGGGUCAUGACGGUACCGUAAGAAUAAGCACCGGCUAACUACGUGCCAGCCGCCGCCGUAA
This 498-nucleotide ribosomal RNA is filed under the name uncultured bacterium. RNAcentral's name for it is "partial 16S ribosomal RNA". It matches the Rfam family "Bacterial small subunit ribosomal RNA", at positions 30 to 523 of the family's 1533-position model. The record is from RNAcentral.